RNAcentral lists this long non-coding RNA (302 nucleotides) under Cyanistes caeruleus (blue tit). RNAcentral describes it as "lncRNA (ENSCCEG00000020449.1)". Lineage: Eukaryota; Metazoa; Chordata; Aves; Passeriformes; Paridae. The record is from RNAcentral.
CCGGGCCCCGCGGGGCUGUGGCUGAAGGGGAGCGGACCGACCCUGCGGCCGCCGGGUUUGUGCAGCCGCCAGCUGACGAGGAGGAGCAGGAUCGUAAACAGCCGGUUCCAUCUGAUGGACGGGGCAGCAGCCGGAGGGCACGGACUGGGAGUCCAGCUGAGCUGAAGCAGUGAAGAUGAGUGCUGACUCAAGAAGUCAUUUUGCUGUGUUGUACAGCAGAAAAGGUGAGAAAUUCAAGAUUCAGAGCAGGAUCUGUGACAGCUUUUGGAGGACACUGUAAGGAGAUGUGAACAAAGGUACUG